This 468-nucleotide ribosomal RNA is filed under the name uncultured bacterium. RNAcentral's name for it is "partial 16S ribosomal RNA". It matches the Rfam family "Bacterial small subunit ribosomal RNA", at positions 28 to 507 of the family's 1533-position model. The record is from RNAcentral.
GACGAACGCUGGCGGCGUGCUUAACACAUGCAAGUCGAACGGAAAGGCCCUGCUUUUGUGGGGUGCUCGAGUGGCGAACGGGUGAGUAACACGUGAGUAACCUGCCCUUGACUUUGGGAUAACUUCAGGAAACUGGGGCUAAUACCGGAUAGGAGCUCCUGCUGCAUGGUGGGGGUUGGAACGUUUCGGCGGUUGGGGAUGGACUCGCGGCUUAUCAGCUUGUUGGUGGGGUAGUGGCUUACCAAGGCUUUGACGGGUAGCCGGCCUGAGAGGGUGAACGGCCACAUUGGGACUGAGAUACGGCCCAGACUCCUACGGGAGGCAGCAGUGGGGAAUAUUGCACAAUGGGCGGAAGCCUGAUGCAGCAACGCCGCGUGCGGGAUGACGGCCUUCGGGUUGUAAACCGCUUUCGCCUGUGACGAAGCGUGAGUGACGGUAAUGGGUAAAGAAGCACCGGCUAACUACGUG